GAAACACGAUUAUUUCAGUGUAUUUACGGUUACUAUAAAAUAUGAAAGAUUAAUGAGUAUUGUAUGUUGUACAGUUUAUUCUAGUUUGUGUCGGCAACUGCUUGUCUGGGACUGGCGCAUUCUGAGUCGUAGUUUAUUGUAAUCCACCAAAGUUCUUUUUUCGACAGUACAGAUAGAUCAAGUAUCCCUGCUUAACCCUGCAAAGUGGAUUCCUCAAUCUGGGCUGUGAAUCCGCACAAUCAUCGAUGCUUUUCUAUCCAGGAUAGUGCCUAAUUUCAGAUAAAUUUAGCGGAGUUUCCAUCGUUCAACAAUGGAUUGGAGCUAUGUAAGAUAUAGGAACGGGAAUUUCUAUGUGGCGACAAGAUCUGGGGACACAGAAAUUGGUCCAUUCCACUGCGAGCAAGAUGCCGAAGAAUUCGCUUGCACCAGACAUGUUAAUUUCCUGACACAAUACUGGGGUUACGACCGCUUUGGCCGCAGCAAUAGGGACCUGCGCGGGGUAGUUUACGUCCACGGGAGAUGCUCAAACCAGCACAGCCAUAGCCUUCCGCGACGCGCUUGCUACGGGCUGUAAUGGGGCUGCAAUAAUUCUAUGACCGUCAAGAACACUACCGGCAGCCUAGCUGGGAGCCGAGGUCACCCUGGUGAUACUUCCAACCGGGCUGCGCUUUUCGGUGUGCUGGAGGCAGUGCGUGAGGCGACUUCUCAAGGGUUUAAUUCGCUGGUUAUCUGUUGCGCGAACACCUAUGCGUUGAAUUGUCCUGGAAAAUGGAUGAAAACCUGGCAGAUGAAUAACUGGAAAUCUAAACGAGGAAAAACUGUUAGAAACCGGGAUGUUCUUUGGAAAUUAAGUGCUGCCAUUGAUGCUUUUGGAGAACAAAAUAUUUUCUAUGAGCACGUCUGGGAUUGGAGUGACCAUGGAUUUCAACGAGCCAAAGCACUAGCCGAUUGGAACCCUUCCGCUGCGGCAAAGAAAUAUGUCUAGCUGGUGAGCUGUAAGGAAAUACUGUUAAUCGCAAAAUGAACGAUUUUUAUAGCGAUUUUUGCCUUUUGUCAUGCCUUCCAUGUGACAUUGUGACAUUAGGCUGCUGAUUGUGACUCUGUCAGAUCCAGACGAGUCGGUUUUCUGAUUUUUACUAGUUAUGGUUUGUUCUAAUUCUGAAUGACGUGUCCAGUGAUCUGUCUGGAAUCUCUGGAUGCACAUAUUCGGUAUGUUUCGAAGUGAAGUGAUAGUGUUCCCGGUGUCUCAUCAGGCGUCCUCUGUUUCUUUUUUAUUGUUUGUCUUGCAUCGGUUUUAGUCUUAAAAGUUACAAUGAUUA
Molecule: RNA transcript, 1319 nt
Organism: Paramacrobiotus metropolitanus
Lineage: Eukaryota; Metazoa; Tardigrada; Eutardigrada; Parachela; Macrobiotidae
Gene name: ribonuclease H-like
Exons: 5
Source: RefSeq, a predicted model, not a curated record